RNAcentral lists this ribosomal RNA (464 nucleotides) under Vreelandella stevensii. Its description in RNAcentral is "partial 16S ribosomal RNA". It matches the Rfam family "Bacterial small subunit ribosomal RNA", at positions 338 to 794 of the family's 1533-position model. The record is from RNAcentral. Lineage: Bacteria; Pseudomonadati; Pseudomonadota; Gammaproteobacteria; Oceanospirillales; Halomonadaceae.
CCUACGGGUGGCUGCAGUGGGGAAUAUUGGACAAUGGGCGAAAGCCUGAUCCAGCCAUGCCGCGUGUGUGAAGAAGGCCUUCGGGUUGUAAAGCACUUUCAGUGGGGAAGAAAGCCUUGGGGCUAAUACCCUCGAGGAAGGACAUCACCCACAGAAGAAGCACCGGCUAACUCCGUGCCAGCAGCCGCGGUAAUACGGAGGGUGCGAGCGUUAAUCGGAAUUACUGGGCGUAAAGCGCGCGUAGGCGGUCUGAUAAGCCGGUUGUGAAAGCCCCGGGCUCAACCUGGGAACGGCAUCCGGAACUGUCAGGCUAGAGUGCAGGAGAGGAAGGUAGAAUUCCCGGUGUAGCGGUGAAAUGCGUAGAGAUCGGGAGGAAUACCAGUGGCGAAGGCGGCCUUCUGGACUGACACUGACGCUGAGGUGCGAAAGCGUGGGUAGCAAACAGGAUUAGAUACCCUUGUAGU